RNAcentral lists this ribosomal RNA (444 nucleotides) under uncultured Cytophaga sp. RNAcentral's name for it is "bacterial SSU rRNA". It matches the Rfam family "Bacterial small subunit ribosomal RNA", at positions 354 to 796 of the family's 1533-position model. Lineage: Bacteria; Pseudomonadati; Bacteroidota; Cytophagia; Cytophagales; Cytophagaceae. The record is from RNAcentral.
GUAGGGAAUAUUGGUCAAUGGAGGCAACUCUGAACCAGCCAUGCCGCGUGUAGGAAGAAGGCGUUAUGCGUUGUAAACUACUUUUGAUUGGGAACAAAUGACAUCUGCGGAUGUAGCUGAGUGUACCAAUAGAAUAAGCCACGGCUAACUACGUGCCAGCAGCCGCGGUAAUACGUAGGUGGCAAGCGUUGUCCGGAUUUAUUGGGUUUAAAGGGUGCGUAGGCGGCUUAAUAAGUCAGUGGUGAAAGCCGGUAGCUUAACUAUCGAAAUGCCAUUGAUACUGCUAGGCUUGAGUACAGUUGAGGUAGGCGGAAUUGACAGUGUAGCGGUGAAAUGCUUAGAUAUUGUCAAGAACACCAAUUGCGAAGGCAGCUUACUAAAGUGUAACUGACGCUGAGGCACGAAAGUGCGGGGAUCAAACAGGAUUAGAUACCCUGGUAGUCC